AGAGUUUGAUCCUGGCUCAGAACGAACGCUGGCGGCAGGCCUAACACAUGCAAGUCGAGCGCCCGCAAGGGAGCGGCAGACGGGUGAGUAACGCGUGGGAACGUGCCCUUUGGUUCGGAAUAUUCCCGGGAAACUGGGAGCAAAACCGGAUAAGCCCUUCGGGGGAAAGUUUACGCCAAAGGAUCGGCCCGCGUUAGAUUAGGUAGUUGGUGGGGUAACGGCCUACCAAGCCUACGAUCUAUAGCUGAUCUGAGAGGAUGAUCAGCCACACUGGGACUGAGACACGGCCCAGACUCCUACGGGAGGCAGCAGUGGGGAAUCUUGGACAAUGGGCGCAAGCCUGAUCCAGCCAUGCCGCGUGGAUGACUGAAGGCCCUAGGGUUGUAAAGUCCUUUCGACGGGGACGAUAGUGACGGUACCCGUAGAAGAAGCCCCGGCUAACUUCGUGCCAGCAGCCGCGGUAAUACGAAGGGGGCUAGCGUUGUUCGGAUUUACUGGGCGUAAAGGGCGCGUAGGCGGAUUUUUAAGUCGGGGGUGAAAUCCCGGAGCUCAACUCCGGAACUGCCUUCGAUACUGAAAGUCUGGAGCACGGUAGAGGUGAGUGGAAUUCCGAGUGUAGAGGUGAAAUUCGUAGAUAUUCGGAGGAACACCAGUGGCGAAGGCGGCUCACUGGACCGUUGCUGACGCUGAGGCGCGAAAGCGUGGGGAGCAAACGGGAUUAGAUACCCUGGUAGUCC
This 737-nucleotide ribosomal RNA is filed under the name uncultured bacterium. Its description in RNAcentral is "bacterial SSU rRNA". It matches the Rfam family "Bacterial small subunit ribosomal RNA", at positions 8 to 796 of the family's 1533-position model. The record is from RNAcentral.